Manis javanica (Malayan pangolin) is the source of this 136-nucleotide small nucleolar RNA. NCBI's taxonomy places the organism in Eukaryota, Metazoa, Chordata, Mammalia, Pholidota, Manidae. The record is from RefSeq and is a predicted model, not a curated record.
CCCCUUCUAAAAGCACUUGAUGGGCCUUUUGCUAAUGACCCACUGAGCCGUCAAGAAAGGGCAGAGUAAAAACACCACUUCUGGGUGAAGCGGCAGCAGCUUGUGCUGUUCGGCUUCAAUCGGUGGUGUGACAAGG